UCUUUUCAUGGGAUUGUUCUAAUUGGAGUUGGAUGUAAGGGUUUUGAUGUCUCACCUCAACUUGUUUGGUAUUUUUAAAUGCUCCUCGGCCCUAGUUGAGCUGGAACCAUGGUGACCCAAGCCAGCUUAAAAAGAGACAGUUCUGCCAAACAGUCAUCCAUAGGUAGUCCACAUUCCCUGAGUGCUCCAGUAGCUUCUGGGUCAACAUGCAAUUGGUGGAAAAUGAUGUGGAUCUCUUGGCUAAGGAAAAAUGGUAAAAUGCAGAUUGCAGAACAUGCUCACCUUAUAGCUGGCUUGAAGUCUGUGUUUGAAAGCCCUGGCCUUCACAACCCAAACUGAAACUCCAGUUGGAACCAAGAAAGCACAGUGGAUAUGGACAGUGGUACAAGUAAGCCUGGCUGGAGUCACUGGCUUUGGGUACCUGAUGGUGACACCACAUGUUCCAGAAUGGUUGUCUGUUAAAUGUUUACUAGAGUUGGGUCUGGAGCAUAGAGUGAAGGGAAGGAAUAUAAUGGAAGGUUGUAGAGUAUGACAGCUAAGACUUGGAAUCAGGCCGGGUGCGGUGGUUCACACCUGUAAUCCCAGCACUUUGGGAGACCGAGGUGGGUGAAUCAUGAGGUCAGAAGUUUGAGACCAGCCUGGCUAACACAGUGAAACCCUGUCUGUACUAAAAAUACAAAAAUUUAGCUGGGUGUAGUGGCAGGUGCCUGUAAUCCCAGCUACUUGGGAGGCUGAGUCAGGAGAAUUGCUUGAACCCAGGA
This 761-nucleotide long non-coding RNA is filed under the name Homo sapiens (human). RNAcentral's name for it is "HSALNT0140779". Lineage: Eukaryota; Metazoa; Chordata; Mammalia; Primates; Hominidae. The record is from RNAcentral.